This 318-nucleotide long non-coding RNA is filed under the name Oryza sativa Indica Group (long-grained rice). RNAcentral's name for it is "lncRNA OsGoSa_02g0004520". The record is from RNAcentral. Lineage: Eukaryota; Viridiplantae; Streptophyta; Magnoliopsida; Poales; Poaceae.
GGCAAGGGCCCAAGACUUGGCCCAAUUGCCACAGGCACCGUCUCGUCGUCUCCGUGGCGACAGCGCCGCCGCUGCUCUGUCGCCGGCGGCCAGCGCAACCGCCGCCUCUUCGGCUCGCCGGCGGCGCGCGGGGACUCGAGGAAGGCCACUGCGUCGCCGUCACUACUACCCAUAGCUCGACAUGACCAGCUUGGUGAGGUUGCAGAUUGCUUGUGGGAUCUCCCCAGAGAAGCUAUUGAAGCUCAAGUUGAGCAUAUCGAGUGCCUUCAGCUGACUAAUCUCUGGCGGGAUCGCACCUUACCUGAAGAGGCCAGAUAG